UCCCAGACUCCUACGGGAGGCAGCAGUAGGGAAUAUUGCUCAAUGGGGGAAACCCUGAAGCAGCAACGCCGCGUGGAGGAUGAAGGUUUUCGGAUUGUAAACUCCUUUUGUUAGAGAAGAUAAUGACGGUAUCUAACGAAUAAGCCCCGGCUAACUACGUGUCAGCAGCCGCGGUAAUACGUAGGGGGCAAGCGUUGUUCGGAAUGACUGGGCGUAAAGGGUGUGUAGGCGGUGUAGCAAGUUAGAAGUGAAAUACCUAGAGCUUAACUCAGGUGCUGCUUCUAAAACUGCUAUACUUGAGUGCAGUAGAGGAAAGUGGAAUUCCUAGUGUAGCGGUGGAAUGCGUAGAUAUUAGGAGGAACACCAGUGGCGAAGGCGGCCUGCUGGACGAUGACUGACGUUGAGGCUCGAAAGCGUGGGGAGCAAACAGGAUUAGAGACCCGCGUAAAG
This 450-nucleotide ribosomal RNA is filed under the name uncultured bacterium. RNAcentral describes it as "partial 16S ribosomal RNA". It matches the Rfam family "Bacterial small subunit ribosomal RNA", at positions 329 to 793 of the family's 1533-position model. The record is from RNAcentral.